RNAcentral lists this ribosomal RNA (373 nucleotides) under uncultured bacterium. RNAcentral's name for it is "bacterial SSU rRNA". It matches the Rfam family "Bacterial small subunit ribosomal RNA", at positions 521 to 896 of the family's 1533-position model. The record is from RNAcentral.
UAAUACGGAGGACCCGAGCGUUAUCCGGAUUUAUUGGGUUUAAAGGGUGCGUAGGCGGGAGAAUAAGUCAGAGGUGAAAGCCAGCAGCUCAACUGUUGAAUUGCCUUUGAUACUGUUUUUCUUGAGUAUGGUUGAAGUGGGCGGAAUGUGACAUGUAGCGGUGAAAUGCGUAGAUAUGUCCCAGAACACCGAUUGCGAAGGCAGCUCACUAAGCCAUCACUGACGCUGAUGCACGAAAGCGUGGGGAGCAAACAGGAUUAGAUACCCUGGUAGUCCACGCCGUAAACGAUGAUGACUCGACGUAAGCGAUACACUGUUUGCGUCUAAGCGAAAGCGUUAAGUCAUCCACCUGGGAAGUACGAUCGCAAGGUUG